UUUAUGGGGUGACUGCGUACCUUUUGUAUAAUGGGUCAGCGACUUAUAUUCUGUAGCAAGGUUAACCGAAUAGGGGAGCCGAAGGGAAACCGAGUCUUAACUGGGCGUUAAGUUGCAGGGUAUAGACCCGAAACCCGGUGAUCUAGCCAUGGGCAGGUUGAAGGUUGGGUAACACUAACUGGAGGACCGAACCGACUAAUGUUGAAAAAUUAGCGGAUGACUUGUGGCUGGGGGUGAAAGGCCAAUCAAACCGGGAGAUAGCUGGUUCUCCCCGAAAGCUAUUUAGGUAGCGCCUCGUGAAUUCAUCUCCGGGGGUAGAGCACUGUUUCGGCAAGGGGGUCAUCCCGACUUACCAACCCGAUGCAAACUGCGAAUACCGGAGAAUGUUAUCACGGGAGACACACGGCGGGUGCUAACGUCCGUCGUGAAGAGGGAAACAACCCAGACCGCCAGCUAAGGUCCCAAAGUCAUGGUUAAGUGGGAAACGAUGUGGGAAGGCCCAGACAGCCAGGAUGUUGGCUUAGAAGCAGCCAUCAUUUAAAGAAAGCGUAAUAGCUCACUGGUCGAGUCGGCCUGCGCGGAAGAUGUAACGGGGCUAAACCAUGCACCGAAGCUGCGGCAGCGAC
Molecule: ribosomal RNA, 626 nt
Filed under: Escherichia coli
Lineage: Bacteria; Pseudomonadati; Pseudomonadota; Gammaproteobacteria; Enterobacterales; Enterobacteriaceae
Description: bacterial LSU rRNA
Rfam family: Bacterial large subunit ribosomal RNA
Source: RNAcentral